Molecule: ribosomal RNA, 238 nt
Filed under: uncultured bacterium
Lineage: Bacteria
Description: partial 16S ribosomal RNA
Rfam family: Bacterial small subunit ribosomal RNA
Source: RNAcentral
CCGCACGGGUGAGUAACACGUAUCCAACCUGCCGUCUACUCUUGGCCAGCCUUCUGAAAGGAAGAUUAAUCCAGGAUGGCAUCAUGAGUUCACAUGUCCGCAUGAUUAAAGGUAUUUUCCGGUAGACGAUGGGGAUGUGUUCCAUUAGAUAGUAGGCGGGGUAACGGCCCACCUAGUCAACGAUGGAUAGGGGUUCUGAGAGGAAGGUCCCCCACAUUGGAACUGAGACACGGUCCAA